This 350-nucleotide RNase P RNA is filed under the name Clostridiales bacterium. RNAcentral's name for it is "RNaseP_bact_a". It matches the Rfam family "Bacterial RNase P class A". From Rfam's summary of the family: Ribonuclease P (RNase P) is a ubiquitous endoribonuclease, found in archaea, bacteria and eukarya as well as chloroplasts and mitochondria. The record is from RNAcentral. RNAcentral also lists the same sequence under 2 other names. Lineage: Bacteria; Bacillati; Bacillota; Clostridia; Eubacteriales.
CGAGCAGACCGGACAGCUGCGGAUACAGCGGGAAACGGCGUAUCUGAGGAAAGUCCGAGCUCCGCAGGGCAUGGAUAACGGCUAACGGCCGCCGGGGGUGACCCUAGGGAAAGUGCAACAGAAAGAUACCGCCGCUCUUUUGAGCGGUAAGGAUGGAAAGGCGAGGUAAGAGCUCACCAGCAUUCGGAGAACCGAAUGGCUCUGCAAACCCUAUCCGGAGCAACACCGCAGUGGGACAUUUUGUGUCGGCCCGACACGUCCCUAGAAGGUGGCAUCGAGCUAUGGCGGCAACGCCUGGCCAAGAUAGAUGGCUGUCAGAACAGAACUCGGCUUAUAAGUCUGGUCGCAAA